This is a long non-coding RNA of Tarenaya hassleriana, 709 nucleotides long. RefSeq lists it as uncharacterized. The record is from RefSeq and is a predicted model, not a curated record. Lineage: Eukaryota; Viridiplantae; Streptophyta; Magnoliopsida; Brassicales; Cleomaceae. The transcript has 2 exons.
UCACAGAAAAGGAAAAAAAAGGGGAUGAAGACCCUUGAAGCCAAAAAAAACCGAACCCUAAAGAUUCGACGAAAGCCAUUUUUUCCGUAUAUUUUAUCUCAGGAUCGGAAUGAUGUAGCAAUUGAAGCGAUGAUGUGUUUACAUCAGAAGCCCAAAAUGGUGGAACCAGGUGGGUUACGAAGUCGAAUUGGGAUUUCAACGAAGCUAACAUUUGGAGCCGUUGAAGGAAGUUUUUUCUGCUAUGAUUCAGCAUUGGUGGUUUAAAUUGAAGCCCUUUUACUAUCAGCACAUUCCAAACCGAUGACAGUGAAGGUACAACCUUUUGAACCAGAACAUUGUUGAACCAUCGUUUCUCGUCAUUUGCACUAAGAAACAGACUGCAACUGCACGUGUGGACGAUACAUAUUAUCAACCCGCUCAACUAAACCCACCGCUGCGCUUUAACAAUGGAGAUCCUGAAGAUGAGAACCGAGGCAAACCAAUUGGUAAGGCUUCGUUCGUUCGGGACCUUGUCUUAUCUCACGGCUUAAACUGCAAUAAUCUGCCAUUGGGUUUUGUAAUCUUGAUACUUCUUUACUUUUAUAACUUCGUCGUUGACUUGUGCAAUUUCAAUGUAGUUGUUUGUUGUAAUCCUUGCUGUGAGAGGUAGCAUGUAUUAGAUUGUAAGAGAAAACAUACAAUUUCAUAUACAUAUAUAUAUAUUCACGCA